Molecule: ribosomal RNA, 164 nt
Filed under: Dysosma pleiantha
Lineage: Eukaryota; Viridiplantae; Streptophyta; Magnoliopsida; Ranunculales; Berberidaceae
Description: partial 28S ribosomal RNA
Rfam family: Eukaryotic large subunit ribosomal RNA
Source: RNAcentral
CCCCAGGUCAGGCGGGAUUACCCGCUGAAUUUAAGCAUAUCAAUAAGCGGAGGAGAAGAAACUUACAAGGAUUCCCCUAGUAACGGCGAGCGAACCGGGAUCAGCCCAGCUUGGGAAUCAGAUGGCUAUGUUAUCUGAAUUGUAGUCUGUAGAAGCGUCCUCAG